UAGCCCAGUUGGUAGAGUGUUUGCCUUGCAUGCACAAAGCCCUGGGUUCAAUCCCCAG
Molecule: transfer RNA, 58 nt
Filed under: Ictidomys tridecemlineatus (thirteen-lined ground squirrel)
Lineage: Eukaryota; Metazoa; Chordata; Mammalia; Rodentia; Sciuridae
Description: Spermophilus tridecemlineatus (thirteen-lined ground squirrel) tRNA
Rfam family: tRNA
About the family: Transfer RNA (tRNA) molecules are approximately 80 nucleotides in length. Their secondary structure includes four short double-helical elements and three loops (D, anti-codon, and T loops).
Source: Rfam by way of RNAcentral